CCUACGGGUGGCAGCAGUGAGGAAUAUUGGUCAAUGGGCGCGAGCCUGAACCAGCCAAGUAGCGUGAAGGAUGACUGCCCUACGGGUUGUAAACUUCUUUUAUAAAGGAAUAAAGUGAGGCACGUGUGCCGUUUUGUAUGUACGUUAUGAAUAAGGAUCGGCUAACUCCGUGCCAGCAGCCGCGGUAAGACGGAGGAUCCGAGCGUUAUCCGGAUUUAUUGGGUUUAACGGGAGCGUAGAGGGGUUGUUAAGUCAGUUGUGAAAGUUUGCGGCUCCACCGUAAAAUGGCAAUUGAUACUGGCAGUCUUGCUUACAGUUGAGGUAGGCGUACUUCGUGGUGUAGCUG
This 346-nucleotide ribosomal RNA is filed under the name uncultured bacterium. Its description in RNAcentral is "partial 16S ribosomal RNA". It matches the Rfam family "Bacterial small subunit ribosomal RNA", at positions 338 to 681 of the family's 1533-position model. The record is from RNAcentral.